RNAcentral lists this ribosomal RNA (200 nucleotides) under uncultured prokaryote. Its description in RNAcentral is "partial 16S ribosomal RNA". It matches the Rfam family "Bacterial small subunit ribosomal RNA", at positions 1182 to 1382 of the family's 1533-position model. The record is from RNAcentral.
ACGUCAAAUCAUCAUGCCCCUUAUGUCUUGGGCAACACACGUGCUACAAUGGCUCAUACAGAGUGAAGCGAGACUGUGAAGUGGAGCAAACCACGAAAAUGAGUCCCAGUUCGGAUUGUAGUCUGCAACCCGACUACAUGAAGUUGGAAUCGCUAGUAAUCGCAAAUCAGCAUGUUGCGGUGAAUACGUUCCCGGGCCUU